AGUAUCACUGGUCUAAAUCCAUAUAGAAGCAUUCUAGGCGAUGCAAUUGAUCCAAAACAUAGAUCUAGCCUCCUACAACCCAUCCAUCACGUAAAGUGGCAAACUUUACGUGAAUCCAAAGAGAUCUAGGCCUUUUACACUCUAGGGCUAGGGUUUGGGACAUGAUGGCUUCACUAAGCACUCAACCACAGGGACUUUAAUGCACUCUAGACCUUCCCCAUUCCAGAUCUGAGGUAGCAACCUCAGAUCUAACCUCCAAACUCCAAAACAUCCCAAGAUAAGCUCCCCAUAAACCCCAAAAUGAAGAAUCUAUAUAAGUGACAGCCCAAGAAUGAGAUAAUACCUCAAAAGAACGCCCCAACGGCAAUGAAACUCGAAUCCAACCAAAGCCCCUUGCUCCAUGCCUCCUACCCUUCAAGAUUUCCUCAAAAAUUGCUUCUCCAAGCUUGCAAAUGCAACUUGAUCCACUCACACACGAAGGUUUGGGUUUCUGGACUUGAGGAUGAGUAAAGAGGCUGGGGGAAUGGAUGUUAUGUUCUUUAUAUAGGGCUCAACCCCGAGAAUUAGGGUUUUCUCCACUCAGCGCCUACUCGCCGAGUCCAGUCUUGGACUCGCCGAGUCGGCCACUUAACAAGCAACCAAAUCGCGACCCUACUCGCCGAGUCCACCCAUGGACUCGCCGAGUUCCCUUUUUCAAUUUACUCUUUUAGCCCUUCAACUCUACUCUCGAUAUUUCGGGAUGUUACCAUUCUCCCCCACUUAAAUUAGGCUUCGUCCUCGAAGCCUACGGCAACUCAACUCCAAAAAUACUCCCACAACGCGCCAACUGGCCUUAACCGAACCAGGUCCCUCAAGGCAUAACCAUCGAAACUCGAACUCACUUCCUCUUUCCUUGCGGUGUCCUGACGAUCCUUUCAAGCCGGGCACCGGCUGUACCCUCUGAUAAUCACACUCAACAACCGAGAAUUACCCAUGAUGCAUCACUGCUCCAAAUCUCAACAAUCACUCGACCCAUAUGAGCUAAAAAACCAUAAACCACUGGAUCCCCGAUCCGAAUCCCACUCUAUCCAUUCCGUGCUGACAGAAAGACCCAUUCUUCAAUCCCAGAGCAACUCCCACAAGUUCUCUUCUUGCAAUCACACGUACAUGCUGCACCAGCCCUCGCACUCUCGGGUUAGGAAAACCAGUCACACUGAUGACAUCUCCAACAUCCCCAGGAGGAACCACCACUACGUACACAACUCCUUAAUCAGAAUCAAGCUGGGAGUCCCAGACUCCAUCCCUGCAUCCAUCCUGAGACUCUUGGCUCUACACCCGCAGAAUCCCUUCCGCGUCCUCAGCAGACAUCCCAUCAUGAUGUCAUUCCAUACCACCACCGCAAUCAGGCUGCUCAAUGACCAACGUCGGACCUCUCCGAUCACAACUCUACACUACCGCUUUCAUUUCCGUGAAUUUACUCUUCCUCUCGGAGCUACACUCCUCUCUCUCUCUUUCCUUACCAAGGAAAUCCACUUGGCCGCCUUGUCGCCACGACAAGUGCCAUGGUGCUCACCCAACGCUGCAGCACCCCUUUAUAGCAUAACCGCUAUCCAAGCAACACAUAUGCAUUGACUCUGAUCGCAGGGACUCUCAAGCCCAUGCACUAUCUCAACUAAUCAAGAUCAUUACCCGGGGCCAGACCUUCAAAUGCUAUCACAUCGUAACGUACACAAACCAUAUCCUCGAACCGAUCCAACAAUACCUGCAGAGCCUUCAGCAUGACUGGACUGCCUCACCAGGCCUUCAGUGAAUCUGGACCACUCUCAGCACCUUCAACCAAUCUGGACCGCUCUCGGUGCCUUCAGUUUAGCUGGACCGUUCUCCGAGCCUUCGGCCUGACUGGUACGCCUACCGGCCUUCAGUCUAUCCGGACCGCUCAACUAGCAUUCAUCAUUCCGAGUUAUCACUCCGGGAAAUUUUCCAUGCAUACCGUUCUAGCCCUCUAGAGGUUCCGAACUCUAUCUCUAUCAUACAACUCAAUCCCGGCCUGAGCCCAGACCCUCCGCAAUUAACUACCCUUGGUCUGUAUUCCGCCCCGCAUGCCUGCCACUUACUCAUGCCAGCCUACGCUCUUGGCUGACAGAACACUGCCGAAUCCCAGGCAGCUCAACAAUCUCACAUACUCAUCGAUCAUCCGGAGAAUUUUCCAAUUCUCCCCCACUAGCACUAGCAACCUUCACAAUAUCACAUUCCCACAUUGAUCCUUCCGCUCGAAAGAAACUCAACCUGCAGCUAACCACUCCUCAGAUGGCAAAUGCUACCCGACAUUCAGACCAACGCCAGAUUCCUACUAACAACCCCAUGAAUGAUAACCAAUGAAAUUCCCAACACUAACCAACAAUCAUACCAUAAUUCCCAAAAACAACAAAUACCACACCAAGAACAGCACAAAGAUACUAGCACAUAAAAAAUACUCCACAAUAAUCAUAAGAUAACAAGACAUCAAGGAAGAAACAUACCCGUAGUCGCAUCCGGCACUGCUCCGACCUCCUCUGCUGCAAGCUGAAAAGCACGACCCUGAGCCCUUGGGGGCUCUGCUCCACCCUGACAUCCACCCAUGAUCCUUAAAGUGGCCGGUGCUGGAGCCUGCACCGGUCCUGCAGCGAGCUGUGGACAGUUGACCCUUAAAUAUCCAACCNAAACCCUCAAACCCCGACCCGACACUGACUGCCGACAAUCCCUCGCAUAGUUCCCCUCCCUUCCGCACUUGCGGCAUGCACCACCGGACCUAGAAACUCCGGUGUGACUCCUUCCACACUUCCCACAAGUGUGGCUACUCAGAUCCCCUACUCUAGAAUCAUCGGUCUUAGACCGUUUUGGCGCCGGCUGCAAUUGCACUGGAGCCUGCCUCAACUCACGCAUCUGCAACUCAAUCUCUAACUCACACCGCUUGGCGGCCUCCUGCAACUCCAACAAGGUCGCGCACCUCUGUGUAGACACAAACUGUCUGAUAUCCCUCUUGAGCAUGAUCAGAUAUCGAGACAUAUGAGCCUGCUCUGAAGCGAUCUCACGGCAGAACAUUGCCCUCUCAGUGAACAUCCUGGUGAUCUCAGUCACCGACUCCGAAUCCUGCUUCAGCUUAAAGAACUCCUGAGCCAAUCUCUCCCUCUCAACUCGCGGAACAUAGCGAGUACUGAACAUCUCCCUGAAUUGAUCCCAUGAAACCGCAGCCCUCUGCGCAUCCGAAUAUGACCCCGUGGUCAAUCUCCACCAAUCCUUCGCCCCGAGCCUCAACAGGUUCAGAGCACACCUCACCCUCUGAUCAGCAGGGCAUGAACACGUGAAGAAACACCCCUCCACGUCCGAUAACCAUCUCAUAGCAACAAUCGGGUCCUGAACUCCAUCAAAGGUGGGAGGCUUCGUAUUAUCGAAGUCCCGAUAAUGAAAACCCCGACCAGCUCCUCCCCUUGCCACUGCAACAGCCGUUGUAGCCGCCGCGGCAGCCGUCUCUGUGAGAGCUGCAUAGCGCUCAUCAAAAUACUCAACCAUGGCGGUCUUGAUCGACCCAAACAGCUCCGGCAACUCAGCCCGGAACAACUCAACAAACUCAUCACGCAGCAUCUCACGAAUCCUCGCAUCCAGCUCGCACGUUCUCAUCUGACCAAUAACCUCGGGCGGUACUGACCCGCCCGGAACUCCCUCUCCUGCUCCCGAUCCUGAUCCGGAUCCACUCCCAGCAUGCCUUGGAAUCUCCAUACUGAAAAACACAACACCAAAUCUCAGACACUUCCCACUAUCCCGGGAACCAACUCUCUCAACCCAACCCUAGAGGUCAUGGUUUCCCAUAUACGCGUAUGGGUCCUGUGCUUUCAGUAGUACGGGCCCAUACUACCUUCCACACCUACCCAUAUUUGUAUGAAGUACUACCACAACACCCUAGAGAAACAUGCAUAACAACGCUCAACCCUCACAACUAGAAGAACACUGGAAAUCUCUCACAAGGAAACCCUAGGCUACGGGCAUCACAAAUCAGGCAACCUUAUCAUGAAAUCCUGAAGAUCCCUAGCCUAGCACUAGCAUGUUGUUCUAACAAAGCUCAAAAACAAAUAUCAUGUAUGGUAUUUUGGGGUUACUUACUGGCUCCGGCUGAUCGUAUCUCCACGUCCUCCUUUACUUAUUUUGAAAACCAUUCUGAAUACUCUUUUGAAAACUCUCCUCGAUUAGAGAGUGGAGUCACACGAGUGUUCCUCCAAUUAAACUUGUAACAACCAAAAAUUUGAACCAAUUUAAAAUUUUCGAAAACAAUCUCAUUCCAUUAAAGUUAUUACAAAAAGGUUUUCAGUACAAUUUAUUUUAAGUAUUCCAAGAAUCUCAUCACAAUAUAAACACGAGGAGCGGUACGAUCACGCCUUCGCCUUGCCACGGUCUCCUGAAUAACCUGAAAAACAUUAAACCACAACUGUAAGCCCGAAAGCUUAGUGAGAUAUCCCCAAAAUACCAACCACAUAUACCAUACACGCAUAACAUGCCAUAACAUAUCCGAUCACAGAACAGCCAUGCACCUCGGGUCUACUGUGGGACUAGUCCGUCGCACCGACCAACAGUCCACCUGGUCCACCCUCUGAGUCUAGCCAUAUACCUCGAGUCUACAGUGUGAUUGGUCCGCCCGCACCGGGCCUUCAAUCCACCUGGUCCACUCUCUGAAUCUAUCCACAUACAUCGAGUCUGCAGUGUGAUUGGUCCGCCCGCACCGGGCCUUCAAUCCACCUGGUCCACUCUCUGAGUCUACAGUAUGACUGGUCCGCCCGCACCGGGCCUUCAGUCGGCCUGGUCCACUCUCCGAGCCUCGGCACGUCUGGUCCGCCCUCUUGGGGCCUACAGCCUAUCCGGACCGCUCGCUGGGCCUUCGGGACAACCGGUCCGCCCUGGGUAUCUUGGCCUACAGCACAAAGCAGGANNNNNNNNNNNNNNNNNNNNNNNNNNNNNNNNNNNNNNNNNNNNNNNNNNNNNNNNNNNNNNNNNNNNNNNNNNNNNNNNNNNNNNNNNNNNNNNNNNNNNNNNNNNNNNNNNNNNNNNNNNNNNNNNNNNNNNNNNNNNNNNNNNNNNNNNNNNNNNNNNNNNNNNNNNNNNNACAACCGGUCCGCCCUGGGUAUCUUGGCCUUCAGCACAAAGUAGGACCCGCCUCAACCCAACUCCAGUACAAACAACCAUGUGCACAUAUACAUACAAUCAUAUAGCAAUUCACAGUCAACAAGCAGAUCAAACAGAUCACAUAACAUAUCAUCAUCCUAACCAGGAUACCGACCUAACCGGUCACUAGCAUAGCAUCACCCUAUCUCUCAGGAUACCGAUCUCAAUCAGGUCUCUAACAAAUACCAUCCUAGCUACUAUGAUGCAAACAUAUCAAAGCAACAACAUAACAACAACUACCCGGAUUUCAAUCCGAUAAGGGCCGGCCUUGGUGCCGUAGACCUUGUUGAUAUAUUGAGGAUAACUCACCUCGAAACUGCCGGCUGAAAGGAUAAGAUCCCGCUACUCCAAACUCCGACACGAACUCCUUCACUGAACAACAGCAAAGCACUGAACUCAUUAAAUACCCAUAAUUACCAAAUUACCCCUGGUAGACAACUGGUCAACCCUUGGACAAAGUCAAAGUCAACCCCUGACUGACUCUACUCGCCGAGUCCCCAUGCUCAGAAUUCCCCCAAUCCGCGAUUCAACUCGUCGAGUCACCCCGAGACUUGCCGAGUCCAACGACUCUGAGUUCACUCAUACACAACUCACCGAAUCAUCCCUUGACUCACCGAUUCACGGCUCAACCAGAAAAGAUUGGAACUCUUCGACAAGACUCAUUGAGUCCAAGAACCGACUCGUCGAGUCUAAGGCUAUCUUCAACCUAGUCGCCGAGUUGUUCUUCUAACUCGUCGAGUUCCAGGCCAUCUUCAUCCAACUCGCCGAGUUGUUCUUCCAACUCGUCGAGUUCCAGCCUAUCUUCAAGCAACUCGUCGAGUCUACCCAUGUGACUCGCCGAGUACCACCGGUCUGAAUCCAUACAGAAGCAUUCCAGGCCAUGCAAUUGAUCCAAAACAUAGAUCUAGCCUCCUACAACCCAUCCAUCACGUAAAGUGGCAAACUUUACGUGAAUCCAAAGAGAUCUAGGCCUUUUACACUCUAGGGCUAGGGUUUGGGACAUGAUGGCUUCACUAAGCACUCAACCACAGGGACUUUAAUGAACUCUAGACCUUCCCCAUUCCAGAUCUGAGGUAGCAACCUCAGAUCUAACCUCCAAACUCCAAAACAUCCCAAGAUAAGCUCCCCAUAAACCCCAAAAUGAAGA
RNAcentral lists this long non-coding RNA (6316 nucleotides) under Lactuca sativa (garden lettuce). RNAcentral describes it as "long non-coding RNA (LSAT_LNC004169)". Lineage: Eukaryota; Viridiplantae; Streptophyta; Magnoliopsida; Asterales; Asteraceae. The record is from RNAcentral.